RNAcentral lists this ribosomal RNA (304 nucleotides) under uncultured bacterium. RNAcentral's name for it is "bacterial SSU rRNA". It matches the Rfam family "Bacterial small subunit ribosomal RNA", at positions 1202 to 1505 of the family's 1533-position model. The record is from RNAcentral.
UUACGACCAGGGCCACACACGUAAUACAAUGCCCGGUACAACGAGUUGCUAAGCCGCGAGGCUGCGCUAAUCUCUUAAAACCGGGCCAAGUUCAGAUCGGAGACUGCAAUUCGUCUCCGUGAAGUUGGAAUCGCUAGUAAACGCAAAUCAGCAUGUUGCGUUGAAUACGUUCUCGGGCCUUGUACACACCGCCCGUCACACCAUGGAAGCCAGUAACACCCGAAGCCGGUGAGCUAACCUUACGGAGGCAGCUGUCGAAGGUGGGAUUGGUGACUGGGGUGAAGUCGUAACAAGGUAGCCGUAA